GACACAGGGAGGUAGUGACAAGAAAUAACAAUACAGGGCGAAUGUCUUGUAAUUGGAAUGAUGGUGACCCAAACCCUCACCAGAGUAGCAAUUGGAGGGCAAGUCUGGUGCCAGCAGCCGCGGUAAUUCCAGCUCCAAUAGCGUAUAUUAAACUUGUUGCAGUUAAAAAGCUCGUAGUUGUAUUUUUGCGUUGACGGUUUGACCAUUUGGUUGGUUAUUUCGUUUUCGCUUUUGGGAAUUUCCCUUUUUACUUUGAGAAAAUUAGAGUGUUUCAAGCAGACUUUUGUCUUGAAUACUUCAGCAUGGAAUAAUAGAGUAGGACUUUGGUUCUAUUUUGUUGGUUAUUGAACCUUAGUAAUGGUUAAUAGGAACGGUUGGGGGCAUUCGUAUUUAACUGUCAGAGGUGAAAUUCUUAGA
This 417-nucleotide ribosomal RNA is filed under the name Babesia canis canis. Its description in RNAcentral is "SSU rRNA". It matches the Rfam family "Eukaryotic small subunit ribosomal RNA", at positions 453 to 924 of the family's 1831-position model. Lineage: Eukaryota; Apicomplexa; Aconoidasida; Piroplasmida; Babesiidae. The record is from RNAcentral.